Pipistrellus kuhlii (Kuhl's pipistrelle) is the source of this 3811-nucleotide long non-coding RNA. RefSeq lists it as uncharacterized. The transcript has 2 exons. The record is from RefSeq and is a predicted model, not a curated record. NCBI's taxonomy places the organism in Eukaryota, Metazoa, Chordata, Mammalia, Chiroptera, Vespertilionidae.
UGCAUUCCCCCCACGUUUGCUGUAAAGUAGCCCAGCAAGCUUUCACCCAAUUUGAUCUUGUGACCUAUUAACUUUAUUUUAUUUAAGAACUAUUUUUUGGUUGAUGACCCUUUGACUUUUGCGCUUUUAAUAAAUACACUCUGGUAAUAGAAAAUAAGAUUAGAAGUGAUGACUGAGUCCAAAAUCUGUGUGUGUGGUGCUUGAUGCAACACACACGUGUUUUAAACACUGCCUUCACGGUCUCAGGGCGAGGUGCCCAUUCUGACUUAUUUUCUAUUCAUAGCAUGUUUCCUUGCACCCAACACACUAAUAUAUAUGCAGUUCUUUUCUUGAAAUUGUGAUAUAUUUGCUGUAGACAUUUGCUCCAGCACCUAUGAAAAAUGUGUGAUUUCUCAUUUCAACUAAAACUAAUAAAGGUUUGCUUUUAGCCAGUUUUUUUUUCUUCCCUUUCUUGAAGUGACACAUUCUCCAUAUUUGUACUGUAUAUCCCUUACAACUUCUGAAAAUGUGUAUGAAAAAGAAGUCUUUAAAUAGAUUUGAAAUUCUAAUCAAACAUGCAGUUUGGUAGUAUUUUGCUUCUUCUUGUCAUUUGAUUCAUAAAAAGUAAGUCUGAACCAGGUUUCCCCAGCCUCACAUUGUCUUAACUCAUCACAUUGAUUAGAUAAGCACAUUGAUGAGCCAAUUGCUGGGGAAUCUAGCUAUGAGAGUGGGGCUUAUCACCAUCUCUUACGCCAGUGUGAAACAGAGUUCAAUUCAUCUGCCUUUUCCCAAAAAUCCAGCUUACCAAAAAAUGCUGAAGACUUUAUCAGCCUAAUAGGUACACUCCAAAAUGGGUCUAGUUACCUGGUGGUGUCAUUGAAAAAUUUCCUUACCUUCCAAAUGAACCUUUUUCUAAAUAGUUUUCCCACAUCUGAUUUCUGCCAAAGUCAGCAUCUCACUUUGGUGUCUUGGGAUAGAAACCAGGUCAUCCUUAUAUGUGCCAUUUACUGUGAAAGUGACCACCUUGGGAGUUACUGUCACCCUGUCUGCCAGCAUCACUGAAACUCUGAAUGACAGGGACAGCAAUGCCCUUCUCUUUUUAAAUAAUUAUGCCAUUUAUUUUCUGCUUCAUAAAUUCUUGAGACAUUAGACAUUUUUAAGAUUUAUAAUUUCAACCUUAAAGAUUUAAUCUAGAAAGAGAUAAUGUUCAGUAUUAAUCUUCUCUUUAGACGCCUUGAUUUAUUUGGUUGACAUUUAUUGAAUGGCUUCUAUGUCUCGAGCCUGGUGCAAAAGGUUAAGAGAAGAUCUUGAACUGAAUCUCUGCCUCUCUUAGGAAUUGUGUGACUCUUCUUAAAGACCAGAUAUGCCCAGCAGCUGACGAAUUGGUCACAGAUAUCUUAUAUACAAAGCUAGAGGAGAAAAUUAAAUUCUAGCAAUGCUGUAAAAUCCUAUUUGAGUCUAUUCUGCCCAUAGCCUUUACCAAACCAGUAAAUAGUACCUAAAUUGACUGAGUUUCUCAUUCUUCUACUUCAUUCUUGUCCCUUUAUUUGAAAAACUAUCUUGAAGACAAAGCAAGUUUAGAUUUUAAAAUUCUAGGGGAAAAUUGGAUAAAUGGCCACCAUACAUAUAAAAAUUUACAAUACUUAGCUGCAAAAUUGACCUUUAUAGUAGCCACACAGAAACUAGUAUGUAUCUGAGAGCUUAGCCAACCAUAAAGGAACUUUGUUAUCACCAUAAGCUUCAUUUGGUCAUUAAAAAUAAUAACACAUUAUUAUGUUACAUAUUAGGCUAGGAAAUGUGUUAAGUGGUGGUGAGGAGGCUGCAGAGAGGAAUAAAAUACAGCCCCUGUCUUUGAGGGACUUAGAUUCUAGCAGGAGUACCAGGGAGUAUUUUAAGUGCUGUGUUAGAGGGAAGAACCCCUAGUUAAUGUGGAAGCAGAAAAGGCAAAGAGUGCACCUGCUUGCCAAGUGGCACAGGGUGCACCACAAGGGAUGGGGAGUCUGCAGGAAGGCCUUAUGAAAUGGAUCACUCUUCAGACAUAUCCCCACACCCAGUGUACAGUGAUUCCAGCAUGGAGAAGGUGUGCAGGUGUAUGAAGCUAUGUAGAGAAGUGCGGCAGGGUUGCCCGUGGCCAGUGUACAGAGAAGCCAGGGGUGGCACACCCAUCAAGUUAAAGGCGGUCUGCCAGGUGUGGGGACUCGGUCCCUUCUGCAGGCAAGAGGGAGCUCCUGAGGGAUUUUUCCAGAGGAGGUGACAGUGGUCAGGCUUGUUCUUUGGAAAGAUCCUUUUGACAGAGCUAUAUAGAGGUUUUGAACAGGGAUAAGACUGAGACCAGGGAAACCUAGAGAAUGGUCCAGGGAAAAGAUGAGCACCCAGUUUGGUCACCCCAGAGGUAAAUGGUGAGGUAAGAAAAAGGUGUGUGUCAAGAUUCCAGAUUUGAACAGUGAGUGGAUUGUGAUAUUGUUCAUCGAGAAUACAGGAUUCCAUAAACAGUUUUGGUCUUGGAAGAUUAUGGGUUCAAUUUUUAUAGAGUUGAGUUGAAGGUACCUAUGGGGAAUCCAGGUGCAGAUGUCAAGGGUGGUGCUUGAAGUUGAGGUUUGGACUGAAGAUUUGGGAGUUGUCAUGAACAGGUAGUUAUUGAUUUAUUUUUUGCUGUGAUGACAAUACCCAGUCCUUACAAUGAUAGUCCAACGCAGUUAUUACUCAGUUCUAUUAUGUUCCCAUUAUUUGGUUUUCUUUUCUAUUGUUCUCCAUCACAGUAGCAACUUUUACUUUCCAAAAUCUUCCAUUUUCAAGGUAAGGAACCCAUCAAGGUUCUCUAAAACAGUUGAAGCAUUUCACGUAAAUUGUCUUCCAGCAUGCACAAAUCUAGAAUCAUCAUGUGCUUUGAUAACUUUAUUUGAAGACUUUACUGUGCUUCUAUUAAAAUAAUUAUAACCCCAGACUCUGAAAAAUCCCUGAUAUUACUUAUUCUUGAGUUGACAGGAAAUAAUUAGAAUCAGUAUUUUUCUCAAAUAAUUUCCCAUUUAAAAAAAAAUCAACUUAAAUUUUCUAAAACUCCAGAAAGAACUCAUUCUCCCCUAGUCUAUCCUCCACAUUAUCUUUUAUGUGAAUUCAUCUCUGUACCCACCACACACACACACACACACACACAGAGUAAUCCAUAAAGUCUUUUUAAUUAUGCACAGUCACAAAUCCCAAGUGAUGCCGGGGAGCUCUUGUUCAUUAUCACCUGCACCGUUGGAGUAGUGGUGUAGAUGGCUUUGAACAAUUUUGUUAACAUUGACUUUUUUGGAAGAAAGCCACUUCUCACCAUGGCCAAAAGGGAAGCCUUCCUCUAGAAUCUUCCUCUGCAGUAUGUAAUUCUCCUUUUUUGGACUGCCUUACUUAUUGGCUGCUUCCAUUGUUGUGUGCAUAUGAGUGGCACAUGAAAUGGAUUAUUCAUUUGUUCACUGGAGGAUUCUUAAUUGAAAGCAGUUUUUCAAGACCAUAAGCACAGGCAAAAGUAUUUGAAAUGAGAAAAAGUAAUGUGUGUGUGUGUGUGUGUGUUAACUUUUGGCGGACUGAGACUUUUUGUGCCUUUUUUCAAUUAAACGAAUAUCAAGAUCAAGUUAUAAAUCCUUGAAAGAACAGGGGUUUAUAAUUGAACUUUCAGCAGAUUGCUUGCCAAAAAACAGUGUAAAUAGAUGGUUUUACUUUAGUUGUGCGUUUUGAUUGAGUGUUUUUAACUAAACAUUAUAUAGGUUUGCCAUACAAAGUAUCAUUCUCUUCUAACCCUGAAAUACUAAGAUAUUAUCUUUGGGGGCCCUGUUGGGGGACUAGACAGCUUUUG